GCAUCCUAGAGGCCGGACUGGCUGGGACCAGGGCGGGCCGGGACAAAGCCUGGGCCGGGCCUGCGCUUCCGUUCGCUUGACUGGCUGCGCUUGUUUUCAGGGUUUUGGUCUGAAAACGGAUCUUACCUGCGCAGAGCAAAAUCGGUUGUAGAUUAUAUCCACGAAAAUUCCUUCUAUUAAAAUGAAUUUCAAGUCCCACCUACCCUGGAAGCAGAAAGAGAGAGAAGAGAGAGAGUAAAGAGAAAGAGAAAAGAAAGAGAAGUUGAAAAAGAGAAAGAAAACCAAGAAAGAAAGAGAAAAAAACCGAAAAUAAAUGGACAAGAAAGAAAAACGGUGAAGGUCAACCCUGUGCUCAAUUCCAGAGACUUUCCUAGGGACAUCGUGUUGGGCAUGGAGGACUAAGGCCAGUGUGAAGAUAAGUCACCGAUUCUUUAAAAAAAAAAAGCCAGUAACUUAUAAAAAUAGCCAUAAACGACGUAGUUUUUUGUUGUUGUUGUUGUUUUGAGACAGCGUCUCCCUCUGUCCCCCAGGCGGGAGUACAGUGGCAGGCACUCAGCUCACUGUAACCUCCGCCUCCUGGGUUCAAGUGAUUCUCUUGCCCCAGCCUCCAGAGUAGCCACCACGCCCGGUCCAACUUAGUUUUUUAAUACUUUUUAAAAUUUUAAGACAGGGUCUCUGCCACCGAGGCUGAAAUGCAGUGGCGCAAUCAUAGCUCACUGCAACCUUGACUUCCUGGGGUCCUGGGCAGGUGACCCCCUGUCUCAGCCUGCCGAGUAGCUGUGAGUAAAGGCCUGUGCCUCUCCACUGUGCUAAUUUUCUACUGUUUGUUGCUUUGUUUUUAAUAGAGAUGUAGUCUGGUUUUGUUGCCCAGGCUGGUCUCCAGCUUCUAGCCUCAAGCAGUCUUCCCAUCUGCUCCUACCAAAGUGCUCGGAUUAUAGGCAUGAAUCACCUUGCAUGGGAGAUAAGGACCCCCACAUCAAGCCCUCAGGUCACUGGGAUCCUGGACUACGGCACUGCUCCAGGCAGGCCUGGUUAUCCUGCUUGAGGCAGCAAUCCUCUUGAGCCUAGUGAAAUGCAACUGGCUGUACCUCAAUGAUGUUGCCCUGAGAUUCUGCCAGUCGAGGCCAACGUGCCAUGCAUCCCUGGAGCAUGAAACCCAGGAUGGGCCGCCUUCCAGCCUCCCACAGCUGUGAUGCAAGUUGAACACAUACAGAGAGACUGCAUCUGCACUGGGUGGUUUUCCUGAGCCUUGGGGAGCAGAAUGCAUGAAUCCCAGGUAUCUGCCGAUCUGUAUGUAACAAAUUCACUUCAUGUAACUUACUGUGUGUCCGUGAGAUUAUCUCUCACUCAACUCAGACACAUUGGCAACCAGUGUGCAGUGAACCUGCUUCACAAGCAAGGAUGUGGAGAAACUAUUUUCGUACAUUUUGUGGGAAUCUGAAAUACUGCGGUCAGUAUGGAAAGCAGUAUCAUGGGAAACUUCCUCAACUCAAGAUCACCUACCAAUCCUUACAGAAUCAGAAUCAUCAUACAAACUGGUGAAAGCAUAGUUUCCCCUAGAGGUUGGGAUGAGGGCAAGAAUGUCCCCUC
Long non-coding RNA from Homo sapiens (human), 1590 nucleotides. Ensembl annotates it as ZNF528 antisense RNA 1. Its record names the gene ZNF528-AS1. Lineage: Eukaryota; Metazoa; Chordata; Mammalia; Primates; Hominidae. The record is from Ensembl.